Molecule: ribosomal RNA, 253 nt
Filed under: uncultured bacterium
Lineage: Bacteria
Description: partial 16S ribosomal RNA
Rfam family: Bacterial small subunit ribosomal RNA
Source: RNAcentral
AACGUAGGUACCGAGCGUUAUCCGGAUUUACUGGGCGUAAAGCGUGCGCAGGCGGUUUUGUAAGUCUGACGUGAAAUCCCCGGGCUCAACCUGGGAAUUGCGUUGGAGACUGCAAGGCUGGAGUCUGGCAGAGGGGGGUAGAAUUCCACGUGUAGCAGUGAAAUGCGUAGAGAUGUGGAGGAACACCGAUGGCGAAGGCAGCCCCCUGGGUCAAGACUGACGCUCAUGCACGAAAGCGUGGGGAGCAAACAGG